CCUACGGGGUGCAGCAGUGAGGAAUAUUGGGCAAUGGAGGAAACUCUGAACCAGCAACGCCGCGUGAAUGAUGAAGGUCUUCGGAUUGGAAAGUUCUUUUCUAAGGGAAGAAAAAAGUGACGGUACCUUAGGAAUAAGCCUCGGCUAACUACGUGCCAGCAGCUGCGGUAAUACGGAGGAGGCGAGCGUUAUCCGGAAUGACUGGGCGUAAAGGGUGCGUAGGUGGUUUGGCAAGUUAGUAGCGUAACUCCAAGGCUCAACCUUGGAACUACUACUAAAACUGGUGGACUUGAGUGCAGGAGGGGCAACCGGAAUUCGUAGUGUAGCGGUGGAAUGCGUAGAUAUUAGGAGGAACACCAGUGGCGAAGGCGGGUUGCUAGACUGUAACUGACACUGAGGCACGAAAGCGUGGGUAGCAAACAGGAUUAGAUACCCCAGUAGUC
RNAcentral lists this ribosomal RNA (443 nucleotides) under uncultured bacterium. Its description in RNAcentral is "partial 16S ribosomal RNA". It matches the Rfam family "Bacterial small subunit ribosomal RNA", at positions 338 to 795 of the family's 1533-position model. The record is from RNAcentral.